This 244-nucleotide long non-coding RNA is filed under the name Chrysolophus pictus (golden pheasant). Its description in RNAcentral is "lncRNA (ENSCPIG00010014570.1)". Lineage: Eukaryota; Metazoa; Chordata; Aves; Galliformes; Phasianidae. The record is from RNAcentral.
CGAAGUUUCCCCGCCCCGCGGUCGGGUCGGACCCGACCGACCAAACUUUUCUCCCCCCCCUCCGGGCUGUCCCUCUCCCUCCCCGGCAGCACACAGGAGGCGCUCGGUCCGCCUCUCGUCGGCGUUUCGGCAGCGCAGGACGGGGCCGCCGCUCACUGCAGGACGCACUUCUCCUCCCGCUUGGCCAUCUUGCCUUUGUUUUGCUCCAGGGUCCGCUCCAGGUCCCGCACCAGCGCGUCCCGCU